UUAUAGCCCCGAUAGCAGCGGUAUCCUUUUUCUGUCCGCCGCGGCGGACAGAAAAAGAUAUAGCGAAUAGCGGGACUGAUG
This 81-nucleotide small RNA is filed under the name Flavobacterium pectinovorum. Its description in RNAcentral is "Flavo-1 RNA". It matches the Rfam family "Flavo-1 RNA". The record is from RNAcentral. Lineage: Bacteria; Pseudomonadati; Bacteroidota; Flavobacteriia; Flavobacteriales; Flavobacteriaceae.